This 480-nucleotide ribosomal RNA is filed under the name uncultured bacterium. RNAcentral's name for it is "bacterial SSU rRNA". It matches the Rfam family "Bacterial small subunit ribosomal RNA", at positions 30 to 506 of the family's 1533-position model. The record is from RNAcentral.
UUGAACGCUGGCGGCAUGCCUUACACAUGCAAGUCGAACGGUAACAGGUCUUCGGAUGCUGACGAGUGGCGAACGGGUGAGUAAUAUAUCGGAACGUGCCCAGUUGUGGGGGAUAACUACUCGAAAGAGUGGCUAAUACCGCAUACGACCUGAGGGUGAAAGCGGGGGACCGUAAGGCCUCGCGCGAUCGGAGCGGCCGAUGUCAGAUUAGGUAGUUGGUGGGGUAAAGGCUCACCAAGCCGACGAUCUGUAGCUGGUCUGAGAGGACGACCAGCCACACUGGGACUGAGACACGGCCCAGACUCCUACGGGAGGCAGCAGUGGGGAAUUUUGGACAAUGGGCGCAAGCCUGAUCCAGCAAUGCCGCGUGCAGGAAGAAGGCCUUCGGGUUGUAAACUGCUUUUGUACGGAGCGAAAAGGCUCUCUCUAAUACAGGGGGCUCAUGACGGUACCGUAAGAAUAAGCACCGGCUAACUACGU